This 750-nucleotide ribosomal RNA is filed under the name uncultured bacterium. RNAcentral's name for it is "bacterial SSU rRNA". It matches the Rfam family "Bacterial small subunit ribosomal RNA", at positions 43 to 783 of the family's 1533-position model. The record is from RNAcentral.
CAGGCCUAACACAUGCAAGUCGAGCGGACCAUUCCUUCGGGGAUGGUUAGCGGCGGACGGGUGAGUAACACGUAGGCAACCUGCCUGUAAGAUCGGGAUAACUACCGGAAACGGUAGCUAAGACCGGAUAGCUGGUUUCCCCGCAUGGGGGAAUCAUGAAACACGGGGCAACCUGUGGCUUACGGAUGGGCCUGCGGCGCAUUAGCUAGUUGGUGGGGUAACGGCCCACCAAGGCGACGAUGCGUAGCCGACCUGAGAGGGUGAUCGGCCACACUGGGACUGAGACACGGCCCAGACUCCUACGGGAGGCAGCAGUAGGGAAUCUUCCGCAAUGGGCGCAAGCCUGACGGAGCAACGCCGCGUGAGUGAUGAAGGUUUUCGGAUCGUAAAGCUCUGUUGCCAAGGAAGAACGCCUCGGAGAGUAACUGCUCUGAGGGUGACGGUACUUGAGAAGAAAGCCCCGGCUAACUACGUGCCAGCAGCCGCGGUAAUACGUAGGGGGCAAGCGUUGUCCGGAAUUAUUGGGCGUAAAGCGCGCGCAGGCGGUCUUUUAAGUUUGGUGUUUAAGCCCGGGGCUCAACCCCGGUUCGCACUGAAAACUGGGAGACUUGAGUGCAGGAGAGGAAAGCGGAAUUCCACGUGUAGCGGUGAAAUGCGUAGAGAUGUGGAGGAACACCAGUGGCGAAGGCGGCUUUCAGGACUGUAACUGACGCUGAGGCGCGAAAGCGUGGGGAGCAAACAGGAUUAGAU